RNAcentral lists this ribosomal RNA (465 nucleotides) under uncultured bacterium. RNAcentral describes it as "bacterial SSU rRNA". It matches the Rfam family "Bacterial small subunit ribosomal RNA", at positions 338 to 795 of the family's 1533-position model. The record is from RNAcentral.
CCUACGGGUGGCACCAGUGGGGAAUAUUGCACAAUGGGCGCAAGCCUGAUGCAGCCAUGCCGCGUGUAUGAAGAAGGGCUUCGGGUUGUAAAGUACUUUCAGCGGGGAGGAAGGCGAUAAGGUUAAUAACCUUGACGAUUGACGUUACCCGCAGAAGAGGCACCGGCUAACUCCGUGCCAGCAGCCGAGGUAAUACGGAGGGUGCAAGCGCUAAUCGGAAUUACUGGGCGUAAAGCGCACGCAGGCGGUCUGUCCAGUCGGAUGUGAAAUCCCCGGGCUCAACCUGGGAACUGCAUUCGAAACUGGCAGGCUAGAGUCUUGUAGAGGGGGGUAGAAUUCCAGGUGUAGCGGUGAAAUGCGUAGAGAUCUGGAGGAAUACCGGUGGCGAAGGCGGCCCCCUGGACAAAGACUGACGCUCAGGUGCCAAAGCGUGGGGAGCAAACAGGAUUAGAUACCCUCGUAGUC